UGGGCCUACGGGACGCAGCAGUGGGGAAUAUUGCGCAAUGGGCGAAAGCCUGACGCAGCGACGUCGCGUGAGGGAUGAAGGUUUUCGGAUCGUAAACCUCUGUCAGAAGGGAAGAAAGUGCGUGGUGCUAAUCAGCCGCGUAUUGACGGUACCUUCAAAGGAAGCACCGGCUAACUCCGUGCCAGCAGCCGCGUUAAUACUGAGGGUGCGAGCGUUAAUCGGAAUUACUGGGCGUAAAGCGCACGUAGGCUGUUGUGUAAGUCA
RNAcentral lists this ribosomal RNA (264 nucleotides) under uncultured bacterium. Its description in RNAcentral is "partial 16S ribosomal RNA". It matches the Rfam family "Bacterial small subunit ribosomal RNA", at positions 334 to 590 of the family's 1533-position model. The record is from RNAcentral.